RNAcentral lists this long non-coding RNA (248 nucleotides) under Capsicum annuum. RNAcentral describes it as "long non-coding RNA (CANN_LNC014128)". Lineage: Eukaryota; Viridiplantae; Streptophyta; Magnoliopsida; Solanales; Solanaceae. The record is from RNAcentral.
GGGCAUGUCCCGACCUUAGUUAAACUCUGUGUAUUGUCUAGAGGCUUUGUAGACCUAAUGUACAGUCAAGGUGGUGUUUUGUUAAUAGACGUGAUGGCUCCAACCACCAAGUAUUAUAUAUCCAUAUAUAUGUGUGCUCGAGCUUAUACAGGUGAUUAUUUCCUUUUAUAUGUGACAUGAUGUUGUACAAAUUAUUGGUUUUCAUAGAGGUAUGCAUGGGAAGUAUAAGGUUAUGAGCUGGUUCUCCC